This 887-nucleotide ribosomal RNA is filed under the name uncultured bacterium. Its description in RNAcentral is "bacterial SSU rRNA". It matches the Rfam family "Bacterial small subunit ribosomal RNA", at positions 571 to 1453 of the family's 1533-position model. The record is from RNAcentral.
GUAGGUGGUUUGUUGCGUNGUCUGUGAAAUUCCGGGGCUUAACUUCGGGGUGGCAGGCGAUACGGGCAUAACUAGAGUGCUGUAGGGGAGACUGGAAUUCCUGGUGUAGCGGUGGAAUGCGCAGAUAUCAGGAGGAACACCGAUGGCGAAGGCAGGUCUCUGGGCAGUAACUGACGCUGAGGAGCGAAAGCAUGGGGAGCGAACAGGAUUAGAUACCCUGGUAGUCCAUGCUGUAAACGGUGGGCGUUAGGUGUGGGGACCGGUUUGGUUUCUGUGCCGUAGCUAACGCAUUAAGCGCCCCGCCUGGGGAGUACGGCCGCAAGGCUAAAACUCAAAGGAAUUGACGGGGGCCCGCACAAGCGGCGGAGCAUGUGGAUUAAUUCGAUGCAACGCGAAGAACCUUACCUGGGUUUGACAUGCACCAGACGGUUGUAGAGAUACGUACCUCCCUUUGUGGUUGGUGUGCAGGUGGUGCAUGGUUGUCGUCAGCUCGUGUCGUGAGAUGUUGGGUUAAGUCCCGCAACGAGCGCAACCCUUGUCUUAUGUUGCCAGCACUUUGGGUGGGGACUCAUGAGAGACUGCCGGGGUUAACUCGGAGGAAGGUGGGGAUGACGUCAAAUCAUCAUGCCCUUUAUGCCCAGGGCUUCACACAUGCUACAAUGGUUAGUACAACGCGCUGCGAACCUGUGAGGGUGAGCGAAUCGCUGAAAGCUAAUCUCAGUUCGGAUUGGGGUCUGCAACUCGACCCCAUGAAGUCGGAGUCGCUAGUAAUCGCAGAUCAGCAAUGCUGCGGUGAAUACGUUCCCGGGCCUUGUACACACCGCCCGUCACGUCAUGAAAGUUGGUAACACCCGAAGCCCAUGGCCUAACCACCGUUUGGUGGGGGG